Molecule: long non-coding RNA, 1906 nt
Organism: Patella vulgata (common limpet)
Lineage: Eukaryota; Metazoa; Mollusca; Gastropoda; Patellidae
Exons: 2
Source: RefSeq, a predicted model, not a curated record
GAACGUAACCAAUUAUAUAACCUAUGGACCUGCAUACCACCUGUUCGUUGGUGGCGACAUUACAGGGUCACAGAUUGGUGAUCGCAACAAUAUGAUAGAAAAAAAUUAUCAUUUACUUGAAGAAAGAAUUGAAUCACUGGAGGAGCGAAUUAUGAUGCUGGAGAAUAGGCCAAACCAAGCAGGAAAUGACCAACAAAUAAUAAUCCGAGCAGACGACGUUGAUCUGAUACUGGAAGAGGAAUUAGCUAAUAAUCAAUCAGAUGACAUUGAACAGGAAUGUCACGUGUACGCUAAUGUCUGUACAAUAAACCAAGCAGACGACCUUCAACAAACCAGAAACCAAGAAGACAAUGUUUGUACAAUAAACCACGCAGAUGACCGUCAACAAACAAGACACCAAAAUGACAUUGACCAGAUAACGGAAGAGGAAUCUGAUGAUAAAGUUAGACUGAAAUUAUCUGAACAUAAAUUUUUCAGGCCAAUGGAAGACCACGGCGUCAUAGAAGUAAGGAUGAAUAUAACCAUAAAAGAAUUAGUCAAAGAGGUACGCAAACAUUUGAAUAAAAGAGUUUGGGUUAUGCGUAUUGAUAGAGUCGAAGAAGGUGGCAUGAUUUAUCAAACUUUGGCUGAGAUAGGUAUCCAAGAUGGCGAUGAAGUUCGGAUUCUAUGGUAACAAUAUUCAUAUUGAAGUAUCCCUUUGACCAAAAACCAUCGAAUUCCUUUCAUUCUACAAAUAACGACACGUGUUAAAUUUUCUAUUUAUACUGUUUAAUGGGUAUUAAGAACUUGGACAUUAAAUUAAAUACAAGAGUUCUAGUUUAAAAUGUCUUAUGAGAUGUGGACACAGUGACGUAUUUCCUAUUCACUAAUGUUUUUAUUGCUCAUAUAUAUAUAUUUAGUUUAGUGCUGUGCUUGAAAACGAUAAGAGACGCCUUGUAGAAACGUAGUUCUAAUUAAAAUACAGUAAAUGUUUGCAUAGAGCUAUUUACAUUUAAGUUAAAUAUUCAGUUCUAGAAAAUCGGAAAGAGUAAUUAUACUUUGGGGGGGGGGGGGCAUGGCAGUUAUGUCCGACAGUAUGAUUGGUCGAUAUCUUCGAAGGCCAAAUUUCAUAGUUUGUUGUACGAAUUGCCAAAUUGCGUGGUCUGGCCAUAAGGCACUUGUCACAGACAGUGUUAGCCACAAAUUCUAAAUCUGCCAUGUACAAUUCCCCUGGUGUCUGUCAUUUUGCCUGUCACAGAUUUUUUUCCAAUUAACCAACGUCUUAUUGUACCCCGCCGGUCGGUCGGUCCGUUGUUCCGUCCGUCGGUCACACUUUUCAGGACACAAUAACUCUCCUAAUUGAGCUAGAAUGUUCAAACUUGGUGUAGGUGUUUAUUAGGUCGAUGCAGUGAUGGAGUUGGAAGAUGGGGAUUUUCUGCUUAGCGAUAACUUUGAAAAUGCUUGAAAAGAAACCCUAGACAAACUACACUAUGUUUUUAAAUAUAUAAACUGUCUCCGGAGCGACUCCACAACCUAUUAUACUAAGUUCACAUUUUUAUUGAUAUUGACAAAUAGAUUUUAAUCUCGAUCACACUAGUAUUUCAUUUACAAUUUUAUGAAUAUUUUUGGCCUGUUUUCCAAUGUUGUUUGUUUUUACUAGUGUGUAUUUAUAUUUAUGUAUAUUAUAACCUACAAGAUAUACUAUACAAGUUCACCCAUUUUAUUAUGUGUGUGUGGGUGGGUGUGUGUGUGUGUGUGUGUGUGUGUGUUUUUGACAUUUUAACUAUGUAUAUACAUCUUUUUGUUCUUUUAUAUUAAAAUUAUGUAUGUGUUUAUUUAACAUACAAUAUUAUAUACCAUUUCAAGCCUUUAAUUACAUAUUAUAUAUAUAUAUAUCUUUGUGUGUUUUAACUAUGUAUAUACACCC